UACGUAGGGUGCAAGCGUUAAUCGGAAUUACUGGGCGUAAAGCGUGCGCAGGCGGUUUUGUAAGUCUGACGUGAAAUCCCCGGGCUCAACCUGGGAAUUGCGUUGGAGACUGCAAGGCUAGAAUCUGGCAGAGGGGGGUAGAAUUCCACGUGUAGCAGUGAAAUGCGUAGAGAUGUGGAGGAACACCGAUGGCGAAGGCAGCCCCCUGGGUCAAGAUUGACGCUCAUGCGACGAAAGCG
Molecule: ribosomal RNA, 239 nt
Filed under: uncultured bacterium
Lineage: Bacteria
Description: partial 16S ribosomal RNA
Rfam family: Bacterial small subunit ribosomal RNA
Source: RNAcentral